UGUAUCGGAAGCCUGACGAGGAUGAGAACCUCCGGGGNNUUCGACCCGAGCGAAGCGAGAGAACGUUGCUUCAGCAACGGCCCGCAGGGCGAGCCACGCAGUGGCGAGUCAUCCUCUAUCACCGACCA
RNAcentral lists this small RNA (128 nucleotides) under Salmonella sp. zj-f75. Its description in RNAcentral is "RtT sRNA". It matches the Rfam family "RtT RNA". From Rfam's summary of the family: This family represents a bacterial cis-regulatory element known as RtT RNA. The record is from RNAcentral. Lineage: Bacteria; Pseudomonadati; Pseudomonadota; Gammaproteobacteria; Enterobacterales; Enterobacteriaceae.